Molecule: transfer RNA, 65 nt
Filed under: Pida apicalis
Lineage: Eukaryota; Metazoa; Arthropoda; Insecta; Lepidoptera; Erebidae
Description: tRNA-Trp
Source: RNAcentral
AAGGUUUUAAGUUAAAAAAACUAAUAAUCUUCAAAAUUGUUUAUAAAGAAAUCAAUUAAUCUUUA